This is a non-coding RNA of Elaeis guineensis (African oil palm), 2189 nucleotides long. The record is from RefSeq and is a predicted model, not a curated record. NCBI's taxonomy places the organism in Eukaryota, Viridiplantae, Streptophyta, Magnoliopsida, Arecales, Arecaceae.
AUUUUCUUCUUAAAUACUUGCUAAGUGCACUUGAGUUCACUCACUUAGUGCUUUCAAUUUUUUUCUCUAAUUUGGUGUUAUUCAGAUGGAAGAAGAUAUUGUUUUAAUGGAUGGGAAGUAUGAUCUCUUUCUUAUUUAUAAAUAUGAAAUUGUGAGCAUGAUUAAAGGCUUAAACGUAUUUUAUUGGAUGUAUUUUUUUAUAUAAUGCAUCCAUUCAUUAAGAGUUGUAUCUCUUAGAGUCACUAUCAUUAGAUCGGAUGCUUCUUUUCAUGAAAAUGCAUCUUUUCAUUUUUAAGAGUCUCCAAAAGAGCCCAUUUACAAAGUAUCCAUUUGGGUGCAUUGUGAGAAGAUAAAGUAUUUCUAUGCUUCUUUUUAAGAUACGGCAUGAGAAAUACUUGGAGAUGCCCUCAUGGAAUUUUCAUAGAAUUUUAAGAGAGGAUACAGAAAAAAAGAUAAAAACUAAGUUUAAUCUUUUUAAAGACCAAGUUAUUUGGUAGUCCAAGAUAAAUAUUUAUAUUUAUAUAAGUUUAUCUUUAGAUAAUAUUCAAUAUGGAAUUCUAAAAUCUCAAAAAUUUGAAUUAAAUAUUUUAUUAGUAAAGCAACACUCCUCAUCCAAUUGACUUAUUCACAUUUGUCUUAUUGCACGUUCUCAACGGUAGGCUAUUUUAUAGAAGCUUACCACCUCUGUUGAUCCAUUUGUAGCAGGUCCUGCCUCAUGUACAACCUUGCCUAAAAGAACCUACCUCUGUUAAUGGAUUCAGAAUAAUCUUUCUCUAGCUGCUGUUCAGGAUUCCCGUUCACAAUUUGUGACUUCGCCGCUAGAAAAUAAUUAUUAAAAUUUAAAUGUUGAAUCUGAUAUUUAAUAGUGUGUAUAUAUAUAUAUAUAUUUUAUGAAUGCCUCCUUCCUAUUUCCAUCAUCUAUAUAUAAAUUCUACAAGAUCCUCGGCAAUCCACAUUUCCCACAAGCGUCCACCAUAGGCUACAUGUAUAUAUAAAGUAUCUAAAUCCUAACAAAUUGUGACUUUUUUGUUUAUAACAAACUGUAAAUAUAAACCUUGCUGGAUAAUAAUUCGAGUUAAUGUUCAACCAGUUCCACCAUAAGUAGAGUUUGAAGAAGCCGGCAUAAAACAUUGCUUCUUUAUUCAUAUUCUUUUUAGCUAAGCUUGAUCCUUUAAAUCCCAGAAGGCGCACUCAUACUAAGGUCCUAUAACAAAAUUAAAAUAAAUAUCACACAUAGAAAGCAAUAUUCAACAUGGUUCCACAAACUUUUGUCUAUAUCCAUGGAUGAGAAGAGAUGGUCUAUUCUACUCUUAGAGCCAUUUUUUGGUGGGUAAAUACUAUGAGUAAGUUGGUCGAUUUUUUCAUUGGUCAACUUACUCAUAUUUUCAUAUUUUUUUAAAUAGAUAGAUUAUUUUUUAUUAAUUUAAAAAAUAAUUUUUUAUUUUAUUUUUAAAAUAUUUUAAAUACAAAAUAAUAAUAUAAUUAAAAAAUAAUAUAAUAUAAAUAUAAUUUUUUAAAAAAUGAUCUAUUUUAUUCUUAGGGCUAUUUUCUGACGGGUAAAUAUGAGUAAGUUGGACGAUCUUUUUAUUGAUCAAUUUAUUCAAUUUUCAUACUUCUCUGGAUAAGUCAGUCAUUUUUUUUAGUAAUUUAAAUAUUAUUUUUUAAUUUUAUUUUUAAAAUAUUUUAAAUAAAUAAUAAUAAUAUAAUAUAAUGUAUAAUUUUAUAAUAUAUAAUAAUAUAUAUUAUUUGAGGUGGUGGAGAGAAAACCGAGUGGAGAAGGGGCCUACUGGCUGCGUGCGAUUGCAUUGGCGAUGGUACCCGGAGCAGGAAAUAUCUCGCAUCCGAAGGAGGAUCCAUGGACCCUGGCCAGCAUGAGUUAGUGAAAAAAAAAAGAAAAAAUGUGGCUCACGCCGCAUCCCCAUUCGCUUUCGAGAGGGAGGAGCAUGAUUAUGUCGCAUCCGCAUUCGUCCACGAGAAGGAAAAGCAUAGCAAGCUACGGCAUGGAAGUUGACUUUGCCUAUUUUUCUUGGACAGGAAUGUGCCAUGUAUGUAGGGCAGAAUCCACUCUAAUCUCAGAUGGUACGACCACUAAUGAGGAUCUGUCCUCCUCAAUCUGACGUGUAGCGCAAAAACAUGUUUUUUUUUUUUUCUUCCAAUUUGAUGUGUCCACGAGGGCCUUCUUUCUUUAA